Molecule: ribosomal RNA, 533 nt
Filed under: Agathobacter rectalis
Lineage: Bacteria; Bacillati; Bacillota; Clostridia; Lachnospirales; Lachnospiraceae
Description: bacterial SSU rRNA
Rfam family: Bacterial small subunit ribosomal RNA
Source: RNAcentral
CGUACCUUCUCUUCGGAGCAGGAGUGACAGGUGGUGCAUGGUUGUCGUCAGCUCGUGUCGUGAGAUGUUGGGUUAAGUCCCGCAACGAGCGCAACCCUUAUCUUUAGUAGCCAGCGGUUAAGCCGGGCACUCUAGAGAGACUGCCAGGGAUAACCUGGAGGAAGGCGGGGAUGACGUCAAAUCAUCAUGCCCCUUAUGACUUGGGCUACACACGUGCUACAAUGGCGUAAACAAAGGGAAGCAAAGCUGUGAAGCCGAGCAAAUCUCAAAAAUAACGUCUCAGUUCGGACUGUAGUCUGCAACCCGACUACACGAAGCUGGAAUCGCUAGUAAUCGCAGAUCAGAAUGCUGCGGUGAAUACGUUCCCGGGUCUUGUACACACCGCCCGUCACACCAUGGGAGUUGGGAAUGCCCGAAGCCAGUGACCUAACCGAAAGGAAGGAGCUGUCGAAGGCAGGCUCGAUAACUGGGGUGAAGUCGUAACAAGGUAGCCGUAUCGGAAGGUGCGGCUGGAUCACCUCCUUUCUAAGGAA